This is a long non-coding RNA of Protopterus annectens (West African lungfish), 1689 nucleotides long. RefSeq lists it as uncharacterized. Lineage: Eukaryota; Metazoa; Chordata; Ceratodontiformes; Protopteridae. The transcript is spliced from 2 exons. The record is from RefSeq and is a predicted model, not a curated record.
AUGUACCUCCAUGGGUUGUAUAAAGAGAGAUGAUGGAGCUCUCAGAAUAUGUGUCUGUGGAAAGUAUGACUCUGUCUUCAGAAAUUGGCUUAGCUUCUGGCGUCAUUCAAAGUGGGUCCAAUAUAUGUAGGCCUGGGAGGAGAUGAUAGAAGGUUCUAACUGCUUUGCCAGGAACAGCCUGCACCUCUCCCUGUAAAACUUCUGUGUAUACUGGCUGCAACCUUGUCUUCCCCAAUAAUGUCUUUUUUAGGCCGUUGUAUAAACCUCCCAACAUAACUAAGUAGACAGCAUUAACGUAUCACUUCUCAGUGCUAAGAGCUUUAACAAAAACACACCCAGCAAGCAUUGCUUACCCUGGAAAACAUCAGUAUAUGCAUUGUCACAGAAACCUGGUUCAAGAUCAGUGAAAGCAUUCUAUCAUGUAGGGCUUUACUACCUGUCUCUUGUACAGGCCACCGCAUUAGACAAAGGUACUAAAGACAGAAGUGUCUCUAUAAACAAUACCACUUAUUUAUUUGGAUUUGUUUACCGGGAAGGUCCGCUGGGCCUAGGAGAGCCCAUUUUCAGUGGAGGCCCGGGGAGAAAAGCGCCACAAAGGUUCAGCAACAAUCAUAAUAUGAACAACCAUAAGAAGUAACAAAAAAACAGUACAGGAGUUUACAGUGCAAUAUAAUUAUAGUUUAAACUAAGUGCACAACAGAUUUUACAUUUAUAAUAUUAAACAAUGAAAGGUAUACAGUGUUAUAUAAACACUAGUCUAAGCUAGACACACACUAGAUUAGAUUAUUUACAUUUAUGGUAGUUUUUGCAACAGUGAGCAAGUUCCUAUAAAUAGAAUAUUAAUGUAUUGAAGUGUGAAGUAUUAUUAUGAGUAAAUAGAUUUGGAAGGAAGUGCAAGUUGUUAGAAGACAUGAGAUAAACUACGGAGUUAUAAUGGGGGGAAGUCAGGUUUUAGGGAGUGUAGAUUUAGUACAUGUGCAGAACCAGAGAGAAGAAAGAUGUUCUUUAAGGGACUUUUUAAAGACAGCAAGAUUGCUUCUCACAUCGUAGAGAACUACAGGAUCCCCUCUUUGACCCCCCUUGGCCCAUACCUCCUACCUAACUAGCAUGGAGUCCCACUGUAUUAAUCCAGACCCCAUUCCGGCAGACUGUAACGUCCUCUACAUAAACUUGGUGACUUGUAUUUCCUCAGACAUGUAUGCCCAGAGGUUUGUGGACUUCAUCAUUACAAACUCUCUGGACCAGUGCAGACUCUCCAGACCAAUUAGUCUGCACCCCAGUCAGAGGUAAUAAUGUCCUGAACUUGGUCCUUAUAAAAACGGGCAGUCCUGCUCCCAACUGGUUGUAACUUCCUCCCUGGUCAAAUCAGACCACAACUUAGUCACAUUUACUUUAUGAUUGAAGCCUGUAGCAUCCCCCAAUACCUCAGAAUUCAGAGACUAUGCAAAGGCUGAUCUACUAAAUCUGAGUGAUGACCUGGCUGAAUUAAAAGCUCCUUCCACCUCAGUGAUCGUACUACUUAGUCUGAAUCCUUUACAGCCAAAUUCUAUGCAUAUAUAAAUAGUUGCAUAGACGCAGCUGUCCUUCUCCCCUGUGGUGGAACCCUAAUGUAAUUAGGCUAUAUAAUAAAAGAAAAAAAUAAAUAAAAGAAAACCGCUCAUUGCAAGCAAAAAUAAAUCGAACUGUCAA